ACRGGGCAAUUGCCUCAGUAACGGCGAGUGAAGCGGCAAAAGCUCAAAUUUGAAAUCUAGCACCUUCGGUGUUCGAGUUGUAAUUUGAAGAUGGUAACCUUGGGUUUGGCUCUUGUCUAUGUUCCUUGGAACAGGACGUCAUAGAGGGUGAGAAUCCCGUCUGAUGAGAUGCCCAUUCCUAUGUAAGGUGCUAUCGAAGAGUCGAGUUGUUUGGGAAUGCAGCUCUAAGUGGGUGGUAAAUUCCAUCUAAAGCUAAAUAUUGGCGAGAGACCGAUAGCGAACAAGUACAGUGAUGGAAAGAUGAAAAGAACUUUGAAAAGAGAGUGAAAAAGUACGUGAAAUUGUUGAAAGGGAAGGGCAUUAGAUCAGACUUGGUGUUUUACGAUUAUCUUCUCUUCUUGAGUUGUGCACUCGUAUUUCACUGGGCCAGCAUCGAUUCGGAUGGCAAGAUAAUGGCAGUUGAAUGUGGCUUCACUUCGGUGGAGUGUUAUAGCUUCUGCUGAUAUUGCCUGUCUGGAUCGAGGGCUGCGUCUUUUGACUAGGAUGCUGGCGUAAUGAUCUAAUGCCGCCCGUCUUAAAMMMMGGAMCACA
RNAcentral lists this ribosomal RNA (591 nucleotides) under Hansenula anomala. RNAcentral's name for it is "Wickerhamomyces anomalus partial large subunit ribosomal RNA". It matches the Rfam family "Eukaryotic large subunit ribosomal RNA", at positions 68 to 670 of the family's 3401-position model. Lineage: Eukaryota; Fungi; Ascomycota; Saccharomycetes; Phaffomycetales; Wickerhamomycetaceae. The record is from RNAcentral.